UACGGGGGGGGCAAGCGUUGUUCGGAAUUACUGGGCGUAAAGGGCGCGUAGGCGGCCUGCUAAGUCGGACGUGAAAUCCCUCGGCUCAACCGAGGAACUGCGUCCGAUACUGGUGGGCUUGAAUCCGGGAGAGGGAUGUGGAAUUCCAGGUGUAGCGGUGAAAUGCGUAGAUAUCUGGAGGAACACCGGCGGCGAAGGCGGCACUCUGGGCCGGUACUGACGCUGAGGAGCGAAAGCGUGGGUAGCAAACAGG
Molecule: ribosomal RNA, 253 nt
Filed under: uncultured bacterium
Lineage: Bacteria
Description: partial 16S ribosomal RNA
Rfam family: Bacterial small subunit ribosomal RNA
Source: RNAcentral